CCUACGGGAGGCAGCAGUUUCGAAUCAUUCACAAUGGGCGAAAGCCUGAUGGUGCGACGCCGCGUGAGGGAUGAAGGCCUUCGGGUUGUAAACCUCUGUCACCGGGGAAGAAACGCUGCAUUUUAACAGAAUGCAGCCUGACUUAACCCGGAGAGGAAGCAGUGGCUAACUCUGUGCCAGCAGCCGCGGUAAUACAGAGACUGCAAGCGUUAUUCGGAUUCACUGGGCGUAAAGGGUGCGCAGGCGGCCGUGUGUGUGAGGCGUGAAAGCCCGAUGCUUAACAUCGGAAUUGCACCUCAAACUACAUGGCUAGAGCAUUGGAGAGGGUAGCAGAAUUCAUGGUGUAGCAGUGAAAUGCGUAGAUAUCAUGAGGAAUACCAGAGGCGAAGGCGGCUACCUGGACAAUUGCUGACGCUCAGGCACGAAAGCGUGGGGAGCAAAAGGGAUUAGAUACCCCUGUAGUCCACGCCCUAAACGGUGCACACUAGGUCUUGGCGGAUUCGACCCCGCCAGGGCCCAAGCUAACGCGUUAAGUGUGCCGCCUGAGGACUACGGCCGCAAGGCUAAAACUCAAAGGAAUUGACGGGGGCCCGCACAAGCGGUGGAGUAUGUGGCUCAAUUCGAUGCAACGCGAAGAACCUUACCUGGCCUUGACAUGCACUAGACAGACGCUGAAAGGCGUUCUCCCUUCGGGGCUGGUGCACAGGUGCUGCAUGGCUGUCGUCAGCUCGUGUCGUGAGAUGUUGCGUUAAGUCGCGCAACGAGCGCAACCCCUGUCCUUAGUUGCCAUCAUUAAGUUGGGCACUCUAGGGAGACAAACCCUCUUUGAGGGUGGGAGGGUGGGGGAUGACGUCAAGUCAGGAUGGCCCUUACGGCCAGGGCUGCACACGUACUACAUGCCCGGUACAGAGGGACGCAUACCGCGGAGGUGGAGCAAAUCCCAAAAAGCCGGUCUCAGUUCGGAUCGGGGUCUUGCAACUCGACCUCGUGAGUCGGAGUCGCUAGUAAUCGCGAUCACCACGCCGCG
This 1027-nucleotide ribosomal RNA is filed under the name uncultured bacterium. RNAcentral describes it as "bacterial SSU rRNA". It matches the Rfam family "Bacterial small subunit ribosomal RNA", at positions 338 to 1361 of the family's 1533-position model. The record is from RNAcentral.